This 3845-nucleotide unclassified non-coding RNA is filed under the name Trichogramma pretiosum. RNAcentral describes it as "guanine nucleotide exchange factor DBS-like, transcript variant X4". The record is from RNAcentral. Lineage: Eukaryota; Metazoa; Arthropoda; Insecta; Hymenoptera; Trichogrammatidae.
CCGGCCUACCGAGUACGUGUGCUACUGCUGCUGCUGCUGCUGCUGCCAAGAAAGAGAGAAAAAAAGUUUGUACUUAUGCGGCGUACGUCGCGACAAUGGCGUGUUCGCCCACGAGCAUCGAAAAUCAAAUAGACAGUUUUCUCGAGCAGUUUCAACGCAGCGAGCCCAGAUCCAUGGAGGAACAUCAUCACCAUCGUCAUCAGCAUCAUCAGCAUCACCACCAACAUCAUCAUCAGCAUCAUCAUCAGCAGUGCCGCGGUGGUAUCUAUGACAACGGCAGCAGCAUCAGCCGCAGUCGCAGCGACAACCUCGACAUCGAGGUUCUCGAAGCCGACGAUGCCGAGAGUAUGACUGGUGAGAUAGAAAACGGCGAUCUGGCCGUCCGAGACGUUGCUGAUCUCCUCCAGCCUCAGUACGCCAUAAUUGCUGGUGGAAAAACUCGGGAAGGUUGUCCCAUCAUAACAUUUCCGGACAAUGGCAAUUUUCACAAUCUCAGCGACUUGGAUUAUCAGCGUCUUAUGCUCUAUCUAACUUCUGUUCCAACGUUACACGAAGCCGACUUGGGAUUCCACUUGGUGAUCGACCGAAGGAACGAUAAAUGGAAUUCAGUAAAAACUAUACUAUUGAAAAUUUCUGCUUUUUUUCCCGGCCUCGUGCACGUCGCCUACGUGCUGCGGCCCGUGGGCUUCUUGCAGAAGGCCAUCUCCGAGGUGUCGAACAAGCUGUUCCGCGAGGACUUCAAGUUCCGCGUGAUCGUUCUGACGAGCGUGUGCGAGCUGCACGAGUUCAUUGACAAGGACCAGCUGACCGAUCAGCUCGGCGGUCAUCUGCCCUACUGCCAUCACACUUGGAUUCAGAAUCGAAUCAAUCUCGAGAAGUUCUCGUCGAUGACGCAGGACGUGUCGCUGGCACUGGACUCGUUCACGCGCCGACUGGCCGAGAUCGAGUUCCCGAACAAUGCCCUGGCGACGACGAGUCUGCUCAGCCAGCAGCAAGCCGAGUACAACGAGCUCAAGGAGGAGAUCAUGAGCGCGGCCAGGCACGGCGAGAGCCUGCUCGACAGUGUGCGCCAGCUCACCGGCAAGGGCACGGCCGAUCGACUCGGUAACGUCGCCGCCGUGGAGAGGCUACUGGUCCAGCUCGAGGAGACCGAGCAGACGUUCGAUCUGUUCUGGUCGCAUCACAGCUCGCGACUGAGGCACUGCCUGGCGCUGCGUCAGUUCGAGCAGGACUUCCGAGAGCUGCAGGCCAGCCUCGAUCAGCACCUGAAGACGUUGGACGACAUGAACGAGGUCGGCGAGACGAGGGCCCGAGUCGAUCAGCUGAUACGCGACACGACGGCCUUUCAGCGUGUCUGCAGGGGAGACUUGGACAGAGCCGAAGAGGUGAUAAGCGCCGGCCAGCAGCUGCUCAGCGAUCGGCAUCAGUGUCCCGCGGAGGUCGUCGAGCCCAAGUGCGUCGAGCUUCAGCGCGUUUGCACCAUUCUCGGGCAGCGCCUAGAGCGCCGACUGCACACCCUGGCCAAGUGUCGCGAGCUCAUGGAGCACAUCGACAAGGCCAACGCCUGGUGCACACGGGGCGUCGAGCUGCUCGCCGCGCAGAACGCCUCCACCCCCGCGGAUCGUGCCCUCCAGGAGCUGCAGUCGCUGAUCGAGGCAGCCGAGGAUUUUCACUUUCAGGACUCGAUCAUGCCCGAGACCAAGGCACUGGUGACGCAGGUGCUGCAGCGCAUCGAGGACGUGUCGAUGAUGUGCGACAAGCGCAUCAACGCCCUGAAGCAGCAGCUGCUCAAGCCGGUCACGCGACCGGUGCAGCCGGUGACGCCGGAGCCGGCCAAACCCCUGCCGCCGGCUCCGGUGCUCUGCACCAGGACGGGACGAGUAUUGAAGAAGGCCAACACUCUGCCCAGAAUGGAUGGAUCGGGCGCGAUGGACGGGGCCGUUCCCGGUGAGAUAUCCUCGCCCGAGAGCGAGCCUCGCGAUCUCGAGGCUCUGCGACUGAAGCGCGGCCACGUCCUGGCCGAACUCGUCGACACGGAGCGCAUCUACGUGGCCGAGCUCGGCUCCAUCGUCCAGGGCUACAAGCUCGAGAUGAGCAACGAGGAGAUGGCCCACCUCGUGCCCCAGGCCCUCGUCGACAAGCAGGACAUCCUGUUCGGCAAUCUCGAGGACAUCUAUCUGUUUCACGGCGAGACGUUUCUGGUCGACCUCGAGAACUGCAUCUCGAACACGCAGCUGGUGGCGCUGUGCUUCGUACAGCGCAGGGACGCCUUUUACCGCUUGUACAGCUACUACUGUCAGAACAUACCGCGCUCGGAGCGGCUCAGGGAGCAGGUCCAGCACGAGCCGCAGUUCCUCGCCGCGUGCCAGCAAAAGCUCGGCCACAAGCUGCCGCUGGCGGCCUACCUGCUCAAGCCCGUGCAGCGCAUCACCAAGUAUCAGCUGCUGCUCAAGGAUCUGCUCAAGUACAGCAGCGACGUCGAGCAGUCGUGCUGCGCCGAGCUCCAAGAGGCCCUGGACUGUAUGCUGGUCGUGCUCAAGUGCGUCAACGACAGCAUGCAUCAGACUGCCAUCACCGGUUUCGGGGGCGAUCUGAGCUCGCAGGGCGACCUCCUGCUCCAGGGCUCGUUCAGCGUCUGGAGCAGCAGCAAGCGCGAGCGACUGCCCCGGCUCAAGCCGUCGCAGCGACACAUCUUCCUGUACGAAAAGAGCGUGAUAUUCUGCAAGCACAGCAAGCCGCAGGCGCACACCAAGGCCACGUAUCACUUCAAGCGCUACCUCAAGACGUCGCAGAUCGGCCUGACCGAGUCCGUCAAGGGCGACGCUCGGCGCUUCGAGAUCUGGCUGCAGGGCCGCUCCGAGGUGCACACCAUACAGGCGUCGAGCAUCGACGUCAAGCAGGCCUGGGUCAGGCAGAUCAAGGCUGUGCUUAUGUCCCAGCUAGCCGAGCUCAAGGGCAAGCAAAACACGGCUCUGCAAGGCAGAGGUGGACAGAAGUUCACCAUGGAAUUACCGUUGAGGCAGACGAUAUCGUGGGACGCCCAGAGCAGCCUGUCGGGCUCGCUGCGCACGCUGUCGAUCGACAGCAACAGCAUGAACUCCCACCUCACGGACAUCUCGCAGUCGACGGACAACGAGGACGUCGGCUGGAGCUCGGAGAACAGCAAUUCCGACGACGAAGACACGUUCGGCGACGUACCGGGCCCGGCUCCAGUAAGUCCGCCCAGCUUGAUCAGAAUUUUAUAAUUUUAUUUACUAUUUUGACUUCAAUUUUUUUACCACGAUACAAGUGUAGGAUACAAACGGCUCAUAAAUUAUUUUACAACACUUAUGAUAAGUUUGCAAAUCAUAUAUAGUUUUUUAUCUGCAUUUGGCAUAUUAUUUUGCGAUUCAAGAUCAAGCAGCAAAAAAGAAAUAAAAAUUUAAAGAGAGUAUGAUUGUGCUGUACUACUUAUGCGAGUUAACUGAAAGAUAUCAACAAGCAGCAUAAGCCACUUUUACGCAGUAAUUUAUUAUCACUUUUGUUUGAUUGCAAACGAUUACUAUUACAGGACAGAUGACUAUGAAGUUUACAUUUUAUUUAUUUUUUUUUUAAUCUAAUUUUUUUUUUUAUAGAUAAGGAACAGUCUCUUACCUUUUAAAAAAAUCCUUCUGUUACUUUUUUUAGAAAUAAUUAUCGUACACACGAUAGAUUUUUAAGUUCCACGGAGUCAGACUGCACCGGCGGGAAUUUAGAAAACAUGGGACGCCCAAAUAAUAAGGGCAGCAGAUACAUCGCCCUAGCCGACUACUGCGCCAUGGGCCAGUCCGAGGUGACGAUGCGCGAAGGCGACAGCCUCGAGCUGC